Molecule: ribosomal RNA, 252 nt
Filed under: uncultured Bacteroidales bacterium
Lineage: Bacteria; Pseudomonadati; Bacteroidota; Bacteroidia; Bacteroidales
Description: partial 16S ribosomal RNA
Rfam family: Bacterial small subunit ribosomal RNA
Source: RNAcentral
UACGGAGGAUGCGAGCGUUAUCCGGAUUUAUUGGGUUUAAAGGGUGCGUAGGCGGGUUAUCAAGUCAGCGGUAAAAUCGUGGAGCUCAACUCCAUCCAGCCGUUGAAACUGAUGAUCUUGAGUGGGCGAGAAGUAUGCGGAAUGCGCAGUGUAGCGGUGAAAUGCUUAGAUAUUGCGCAGAACUCCGAUUGCGAAGGCAGCAUACCGGCGGCGAUCUGACGCUGAGGCACGAAAGCGUGGGGAGCAAAUAGG